This 135-nucleotide ribosomal RNA is filed under the name uncultured bacterium. RNAcentral's name for it is "partial 16S rRNA". It matches the Rfam family "Bacterial small subunit ribosomal RNA", at positions 355 to 507 of the family's 1533-position model. The record is from RNAcentral.
UGGGGAAUAUUGGACAAUGGGCGGAAGCCUGAUCCAGCAAUGCCGCGUGAGUGAUGAAGGCCUUAGGGUUGUAAAGCUCUUUUACCAGGGAUGAUAAUGACAGUACCGGGAGAAUAAGCUCCGGCUAACUCCGUG